CAAACGGCCCUUUUCAGGGCCACCACAAAAUAAGCCAAAGAUAAUU
Molecule: regulatory RNA element, 46 nt
Organism: Lasius niger
Lineage: Eukaryota; Metazoa; Arthropoda; Insecta; Hymenoptera; Formicidae
Rfam family: Histone 3' UTR stem-loop
About the family: The mRNAs of metazoan histone genes lack a poly-A tail.
Source: Rfam